GACAGAGGAUGCAAGCGUUUAUCCCGGGAAUCACUGGGCGUAAAGCGCUGUAGGUUGUUUAAAAAAGUCUUGCAGUUAAAAGGUUGAAGCUUAACUUCAAAAAUGCCGUAGAAACUUUUAAACUAGAGGAUGGUAGGGGUAGAGGGAAAUUUCCAGUGGAGCGGUGAAAUGUGUAGAUAUUGGAAAGACCACCGAUGGCGAAGGCACUCUACUGGGCCAUGACUGACACUGAGAGACGAAAGCUAGGGGAGCAAAUGGG
Molecule: ribosomal RNA, 259 nt
Filed under: uncultured bacterium
Lineage: Bacteria
Description: partial 16S ribosomal RNA
Rfam family: Bacterial small subunit ribosomal RNA
Source: RNAcentral